CCUGUUUCUAUAUAAGUGAGUCUCUCUAGUCUCUACUCAUUUGUGAAGAGAGAAAUAAUUUUCAAGUGAAGAAAAGAAAAGACUGUCUUUCUUCUUUUCUUGGAUUGGGCGGAGGCAACAAAAUACAACAAAUGGGUGUUGGGUUGAAGAGGGAUUUUGUAUGGGAAUAUGGAGGAACUCUGGAGAGUCAAAAAUCUGGAAUCAGACAGCAUUAUGAUAUUUCCUCUCGUAAUAACAGCGUCCUUGUUGCUCUGAUGAUGAUUUGAUGGUGUAGCUUGGUGCGAUGGUGGUGGUGGUGGAGCCUCUGAUGCACACCUCAAAAGACGCUUCAAACUGACAGGAAAAACUGGAUUGUAGUAGUAUCUCUGGUAAUAUCUGUUAAAAAUUUCAGAUGACUAUUUGAAAACUGCAACAGCCUCUUAAAAGUAUACGCCUUAAAUGGAUCGGCCAAGCCUGAAUCUAGAAAAUGAAGCUAAACUUGAAUGGAAAUUCUGAGAGAUUGAGAUUUAUAUGUCCAAGAAAUGUAAAUUGUGUUAUAAAUCACACUUUAAAAAGCAAGAACAAACAGCCGAUUUGUUACAAUGUCUAAAACAAGACAAUUCUACAGAAAGAGAAUAACACUUCUUUUUCUCUUC
Papaver somniferum (opium poppy) is the source of this 635-nucleotide long non-coding RNA. RefSeq lists it as uncharacterized. The record is from RefSeq and is a predicted model, not a curated record. The transcript has 2 exons. Lineage: Eukaryota; Viridiplantae; Streptophyta; Magnoliopsida; Ranunculales; Papaveraceae.